This is a long non-coding RNA of Neomonachus schauinslandi (Hawaiian monk seal), 176 nucleotides long. RefSeq lists it as uncharacterized. NCBI's taxonomy places the organism in Eukaryota, Metazoa, Chordata, Mammalia, Carnivora, Phocidae. The record is from RefSeq and is a predicted model, not a curated record. The transcript has 3 exons.
UGGAGCCCGACGCUGCGUCUUGGCCUCCCGCAGCAGGAUUUCCGCCGCGUCCUGGUCGAGGUGGUGGUGGCGGCCACCGCUGUGCUCGCUCUGGUCCUCAUGUGCUUGUGCAAAUGGUUCUCCGUCAGGUCCAGGCUGUUCCCCCGAAUCCCGCAGGUGAAGAAGGAAAUCACCGG